AGUGAACGCUGGCGGUAGGCCUAACACAUGCAAGUCGAACGGCAGCACAGUAAGAGCUUGCUCUUACGGGUGGCGAGUGGCGGAUGGGUGAGGAAUACAUCGGAAUCUACUUUUUCGUGGGGGAUAACGUAGGGAAACUUACGCUAAUACCGCAUACGACCUACGGGUGAAAUCAGGGGAUCUUCGGACCUUGCGCGAUUGAAUGAGCCGAUGUCGGAUUAGCUAGUUGGCGGGGUAAAGGCCCACCAAGGCGACGAUCCGUAGCUGGUCUGAGAGGAUGAUCAGCCACACUGGAACUGAGACACGGUCCAGACUCCUACGGGAGGCAGCAGUGGGGAAUAUUGGACAAAGGGCGCAAGCCUGAUCCAGCCAUACCGCGUGGGUGAAGAAGGCCUUCGGGUUGUAAAGCCCUUUUGUUGGGAAAGAAAAGCAGCAGGUUAAUACCCCGCUGUUCUGACGGUACCCAAAGAAUAAGCACCGGCUAACUUCGUG
Molecule: ribosomal RNA, 492 nt
Filed under: uncultured bacterium
Lineage: Bacteria
Description: partial 16S ribosomal RNA
Rfam family: Bacterial small subunit ribosomal RNA
Source: RNAcentral